UCAGGAAACAGUUCUUGGCAUCCAC
RNAcentral lists this unclassified non-coding RNA (25 nucleotides) under Mus musculus (house mouse). RNAcentral describes it as "oocyte_clustered_small_RNA771". Lineage: Eukaryota; Metazoa; Chordata; Mammalia; Rodentia; Muridae. The record is from RNAcentral.